Firmicutes bacterium CAG:475 is the source of this 601-nucleotide non-coding RNA. The record is from Rfam. NCBI's taxonomy places the organism in Bacteria, Bacillati, Bacillota.
AUAAUAUUUAUAAAUGGUGGUGCAGUAUUCUAGUCAGAUUCCACCGACUCGGAGGCGGGGGUAAAAUAUCGCCGAAGGGCAUAUCGAUGAAGUUUCUGGUGAUGGCUUCUUUUGCCCAAAUUGGGGCUGUUGCUGGGAGUUAAGGUUUUUGGGCGGCUUGCAACGGCAUGCAAACCCCGACCCAAUUUCCGUGGAGACCCGAUUCGGUAGACGAGGUAACAUUCGCUUACUGACCGGGGUUAAACCUGAUAUGCGGUGCAUCUGCGCUGUGUACAGUGUAGCCUGCUUUGAGUGAUUUGGAGGGAUCAAGGAACCACGCUUCUCGGCGUUGCGCAACAACGAGUGGCGAUCGCCUUGUGAAAUCCUCUUUGCAAAAAAAGAUAAGGGCGGGCGGAAUCUGUCAAGGAAAUCUUCUAGACUGUUCAUGCGAGGCGGCUCGGGGAUUAUAGUGUGCUCUAAGUGGCGAUUCGGUUUCUCUUUGAGAUGACUCAUGCAAUAGGAAACUUCUCGGACGGCGACGACGAGUUUUGAGUCAGGGAAAACCUACCGAACCUAUGGCGCAAGGUUUACCCGAGGCGUUGCCACCAUUACAUAGACUUUU